RNAcentral lists this ribosomal RNA (378 nucleotides) under Mesalina guttulata. RNAcentral's name for it is "partial 16S ribosomal RNA". It matches the Rfam family "Archaeal large subunit ribosomal RNA", at positions 2063 to 2639 of the family's 2987-position model. Lineage: Eukaryota; Metazoa; Chordata; Lepidosauria; Squamata; Lacertidae. The record is from RNAcentral.
ACUAGCAUGAACGGCUAAAUGAGGAUUUAACUGUCUCUUGUAAUUUACCUAUGAAACUGAUCUUGUAGUCCAAAAGCUACAAUAAAAACAUCAGACGAGAAGACCCUGUGGAGCUUCUAAACCAAAACCAAACACAUGACCCCUUGGUUUUUAGUUGGGGCAACUUCGGAGUACAAACCAACCUCCGACAAACCACAAAUUAAGACUAACAAGUCAAAAUUUAAACUUGACCCAAUAAUCUAAUCUAGACUAUUUGACCAAUGAACCAAGUUACCCCAGGGAUAACAGCGCUAUCCUCUUUUAGAGUCCCUAUCGACAAGAGGGCUUACGACCUCGAUGUUGGAUCAGGACACCCCAAUAAUGCAGCCGUUAUUAAAG